This 298-nucleotide small nuclear RNA is filed under the name Jaculus jaculus (lesser Egyptian jerboa). RNAcentral describes it as "7SK RNA (ENSJJAG00000004770.1)". It matches the Rfam family "7SK RNA". Rfam says of the family: 7SK was discovered as an abundant small nuclear RNA in the mid-70s but a possible function has only recently been suggested. Two independent studies have found that 7SK RNA binds the CDK9/cyclin T complex (known as elongation factor P-TEFb). The record is from RNAcentral. Lineage: Eukaryota; Metazoa; Chordata; Mammalia; Rodentia; Dipodidae.
AUAUGAGAGAGCAAUCUGACUGUGACAUCUGUUACCCCAUUGAUCCCCAGGGCUCAUUCAGGUGCUCUUGCUGUGUAGUUGGGUAUCCCCUUCUUCCCUCAGUUCUGCAUGUGUGUCCCUCCAAUAGCUGUGGACUCAGUUGAAGAGGAAGACCUCCCCUGAAUGUAGGACAGCUACUCUUCUAUUAAGUGUAUUUGUAGCUGUCUCCUACUAUAACCUAAUAACAGGCUCCCAAGGAAUGACCUAGGAACAAAGAGUAUCGAUAUUAAAUAACUUUAUAUUGCAAGUAAUCUCCUAU